This 484-nucleotide ribosomal RNA is filed under the name uncultured bacterium. RNAcentral's name for it is "partial 16S ribosomal RNA". It matches the Rfam family "Bacterial small subunit ribosomal RNA", at positions 30 to 507 of the family's 1533-position model. The record is from RNAcentral.
AUUGAACGCUGGCGGCAGGCCUAACACAUGCAAGUCGAGCGGAUGAAGGGAGCUUGCUCCUGGAUUCAGCGGCGGACGGGUGAGUAAUGCCUAGGAAUCUGCCUGGUAGUGGGGGAUAACGUCCGGAAACGGGCGCUAAUACCGCAUACGUCCUGAGGGAGAAAGUGGGGGAUCUUCGACCUCACGGCAUUCGGUUAACCCUAGGUCGGAUUAGCUAGUUGGUGGGGUAAAGGCCUACCAAGGCGACGAUCCGUAACUGGUCUGAGAGGAUGAUCAGUCACACUGGAACUGAGACACGGUCCAGACUCCUACGGGAGGCAGCAGUGGGGAAUAUUGGACAAUGGGCGAAAGCCUGAUCCAGCCAUGCCGCGUGUGUGAAGAAGGUCUUCGGAUUGUAAAGCACUUUAAGUUGGGAGGAAGGGCAGUAAGUUAAUACCUUGCUGUUUUGACGUUACCAACAGAAUAAGCACCGGCUAACUUCGUG